Molecule: ribosomal RNA, 695 nt
Filed under: uncultured archaeon
Lineage: Archaea
Description: bacterial SSU rRNA
Rfam family: Archaeal small subunit ribosomal RNA
Source: RNAcentral
CCUCGGGACGAGGACAACCCCGGGAAACUGGGGCUAAUCCCCGAUAGGUGAGGAGGCCUGGAAUGGCUCUUCACUUAAAGGGCGUUGGGACCAUGCUUUCCAUCGUCGCCCGAGGAUGGGGCCGCGGCCGAUCAGGUUGUUGGUGUGGUAACGGCUCACCAAGCCUUUAACCGGUACGGGCCAUGAGAGUGGGAGCCCGGAGAUGGGCACUUAGACAAGGGCCCAGGCCCUACGGGGCGCAGCAGUUGCGAAAACUCCGCAAUGCGCGAAAGCGUGACGGGGUUAUCCCGAGUGCCAUCCGCUGAGGACGGCUUUUCUCUGGUGUAAUGAGCCGGAGGAAUAAGAGGAGGGCAAGACUGGCGUCAGCCGCCGCGGUAAUACCAGCUCCUCGAGUGGUAGGGAUGAUUAUUGGGCUUAAAGCGUCCGUAGCCGGCCCGGUAAGUCCUCCGUUAAAUCCAGCGAUUUAAUCGCUGGGCCGCGGAAGAUACUGCCGAGCUAGGGGGCGGAAGAGGCCGACGGUAUUCUCGGGGUAGGGGUGAAAUCCUAUAAUCCUGAGAGGACCACCAGUGGCGUAGGCGGUCGGCUAGUACGCGCUCGACGGUGAGGGACGAAAGCUGGGGGAGCGAACCGGAUUAGAUACCCGGGUAGUCCCAGCCGUAAACGAUGCGGACUAGGUGUCGGGGUGGUUACGAACC